Metopolophium dirhodum (rose-grain aphid) is the source of this 595-nucleotide long non-coding RNA. RefSeq lists it as uncharacterized. The record is from RefSeq and is a predicted model, not a curated record. NCBI's taxonomy places the organism in Eukaryota, Metazoa, Arthropoda, Insecta, Hemiptera, Aphididae. The transcript has 5 exons.
UAGUGUUGGGUAUGAGUAGGGAUGUUCGAUUGUUUCGACCAAUGCUACAGUCGUUUAAUCGAUUAUUUUUUUUUAAAGAAGUCGCCACAUAAUAUAACCGAUUAAUCGAAAUACGACUGUACAUUGUAAAAUACUAAAAUGUAUUAGGUAAUGUAUUAGGUAAUACUAAAAACAUAAAUAAUUUCAGGUAUAAAGAAACUAAUACCAAAUCGAAAUACUUAUCAUGUUCAAGUUUACAUGGCUUUAUGUUCUUUUCAUAUUAGCAAUGUUUGUGUCUUCAUCAUUUUGUAUGGACAUAUUUAAAGCCCAAACGUCGUUGAAUAUGGUCAACAAAUAUUCUAAUAAUUUUCGACCGAUUUUACAAUUUGAAGAUGAAAGUUCAUUAGAUGAAUCAGCAUCCGUAUAAAUAAUUAUGAAAUAAUAAGAUACCGUAAAUUUUUAAUUUGCCUCUUAUGGAAAAAUCAAAUCAAUGGAUGUACGGUGUACCUAAUAGAAAAGUUAAUUCAACACAACGAUAUUAAUAAUGUUCUGUAAUAGAAUUAUAAAAAAAUAUAUAUUUACCCAAAAAUAAACUUGAUUAAUAAUUAUUAUGAAA